This 73-nucleotide transfer RNA is filed under the name Planctomycetota bacterium. Its description in RNAcentral is "Planctomycetes bacterium (freshwater metagenome) tRNA-Lys". It matches the Rfam family "tRNA". Rfam says of the family: Transfer RNA (tRNA) molecules are approximately 80 nucleotides in length. Their secondary structure includes four short double-helical elements and three loops (D, anti-codon, and T loops). Lineage: Bacteria; Pseudomonadati; Planctomycetota. The record is from RNAcentral.
GGGGGCGUAGCUCAGCCGGUAGAGCAACAGCCUUUUAAGCUGUGGGUCGCGGGUUCGAAUCCCGCCGCCCUCA